Long non-coding RNA from Zea mays, 3484 nucleotides. RefSeq lists it as uncharacterized. NCBI's taxonomy places the organism in Eukaryota, Viridiplantae, Streptophyta, Magnoliopsida, Poales, Poaceae. The record is from RefSeq and is a predicted model, not a curated record. The transcript is spliced from 3 exons.
GUUACCCUCUCUUUUCCUUGCUUUUCUUUUCUUUUUCUAAAUAAGGGAUAGUUAUCUGGAAUACAUAGGUACUAUUUUGAUUACAUGUGUGUUUCUCAUGUCGAGGCACAACUUCUUGUUUGCUACAAUAGUCUUAGGGUGUUCCCGUUCAGAAAAAAUAUUACUUUUGGAUGAUCAAAUAAUAAAUAAAUAUGUUCAUAUAUAUAUAUAUAAAUACAUAUAUCUAUACCUAUAAAAAACAAAGAAAAAGAAUAAAAAAAGGGAAAACAAAUUUCCUCUCCUCACCUUUUUCCCUCAGCCCGGCGCACCCUGUUGCACGUGGACACACGCGUGGCUGCUCGAGCCGCGUGAGCCUCCCCUCGCCCAGUCGUUGUUUGCGCAGCGGGCCCCCAUAUCAUCUCCUUGCUUCCCCCUUCACAACUGCCUCAGCCCCGUGCAUCCGAACGCCAAGGAAACUAGCCCCCACUCCAUCAUGGCCCGCCCACGUUGCUCGGACUUCAAGCCCCCUGCAGUUCAGUUGCAUAGCAGUCCUGGAGUUGCGCUCGCCACCAAGCUACGCGUUGCCAUGCCCGGAGAAGGCUACGCCCGUGAUUCUCCCUCAUCGAGUUCGUCGCAAGGUGAGAGUACAGAGCGUGGCCAUCUCUUUUGUUUUCUUUGCCUCGUCCGAGCUGUGGCAAUGGCGAUCCAUCGUCAUUCGCGCUUCCCCGGCGAAGUCGGCUGAGCCGUCCUCGCUCUCUCUGUUGUGUGGUCGUGCGUCUACCCUUGCAGCCCCUCCCUACAACGCCCUUCGCGGCCAUGGCUGACCGAACCGCCAGCCUCGGCACGACGGCACAGCUAGCCGGCCUGCUGCCAGGCGCAACGGCCUGGGCAGAGCCCCUGCGCGCCCAAUCGCCACCGUAAGCCCCGCUCGCCGGCGAGCCCACCCAGCCGUGCCCUGCCUCCCAUGCGACCCCCGUGCUUUGCAACCACUCGUUCCGUCAAAGGUGUAGGAGAGAGGAAAAUAUGUGUUCGUGGGUUGAAGAAGCCAGAAAAGGGAACCGUUAGUCUAUUCCCAUGAUUCAUGGCCACGUUUCAAUCUCCUAGUGCACCACGAUCUAGCUAGAUCCCAGGAUGCUUUGUGGCUUUUCUUUGUGUGGCUCUCAGUGUGGUAAGCCAUCAGCCAAUAGAAUUGCGUCAGAUCGUAGUAAACUGUGGCUGAUUAAGUAUUCAAUAUCUUUUGCAUCGUAAACUUAUUUCGACUCGUUUUAGUUGUGUCAACUUCGCAAUAAUAUUGUAUACUCAUUGAAAGUACUAUUUGGUCAUGACACAUGUUUAUUUAACUAAUUAAUUAAUUGUUCGUUCGGUAGUUAUUAAAAAUGACCUUCCAAUUAAACCUAAUGUAUAGUUUUAAUUUUUGUUUUUUAAAUACAUGUUAAUAUGAUUAAUGUCAACUCAACCAUUUUAAAUUAAUAGAUUCUUAGUAUAAACAUGGCAUCAAUAUGUUAUUCUUGAGUGUCACGUGCGUUGCUUCGCGCGUGUCAUGCGUGUCGUUCACGCGCCAUGCUGUUUCACGUGUUGCCGCGUGCCGUUUCGCGCGCUGCCGCGCGUGUCGUCACGCGUUGUUUGUCCGCUUCGUCGCACAUCACUCGCGAGUGUCGCGCGUAUUGUUCGCACGUGUUGCCGCGCGCCGUUCGCGUGUGUCGCGCGCCUUGCCACGCCGUUCGCGCGUAUCGCGCGUUGUCCGCGCGCGAGAUUAAACUAUUCCCUUAUAAUCACUCAUGUCAGUUAAUUAUUUAUUUAUUUAAUCAUCCACAAUAAAAACAGUAAGUUAGUCAAAACUAAGUAGCUUUAAUCUAUAUUUCAUAAAUGCUAAUUAAUAUAAUUAUAUCGAAUUAAAUAUUCUUAUUAAUACUUGUUUAGUAUAAACACGUCACCUAUUUAGUUCUCUCGCCUGUCGUGCGUGUUAUGGUUAGCUACAUGCUAGCGCUUUACUUUAAUCAAUGAACAAGAUGAGAUACAAUGAUGAUACUAUGAUUUUAUUCUGGAUAUGAUGAUAUACUUGUGGCAUUUAGGGGACUCGGGCUGUUUCCCGAGUACCUCUCCGUAAGGACCUGUUCGUUGAGAGACCACCCGGGAUAACAGUGCAACCAUGAGGGUGAAAUGUGAUGCCCUUAGCUAAUUAAUUAGAGGAACUAGAGGUGUAGUUGCUUCGCCGUCGUGUCGUCAAUGGGGUCCAAGCACAGUGCUUGCUCUGCCGAGGCUGAGUGCCGAGGUUCUUUCGUUUUGCUUUUUGGUUAGUCACUCUCCUGCGGGGAGGGGUACUGUGUUUAUCAAACUGGAGAAACCUAACAGGCGGCUAUGACCUCUAGGGAAUCUUUGUAAAAGCUACGUAGUGAUACCCUGCCGGACCACCUAGGAAGUGAUCAAUGGGGAGUCAUGAUCCCCGGGCAAAAUGGGAAUCACGACUCAUGGGUAAAGUGUGCGACCUCUGCAGAGGGUAGUGAAACUGAUAUAUCAGCCAUGCUCACGGUUAUGAGCGGCCUUGGGAUCCUCUUUGAUUAGAGAUACAGAUGGUUCAAGAUGUUAUGGUUCUAUUUAUGAUUUUGGUUCGAUGAUGAUAAUGAUGUUUCCUCGAUGAGGAAAUGGUUCACGGGUUGGUUAUUACUAAAACUUGGCUUCCACUGAUAAUAAAUACCUGACCAACUAAAAGCAACUGCUUGAGCUUAACCCCACAUAAAAAGCUAGUCCACUUCAGCCAAACGGGGCAUUUGCUGAGUACGUUGAUGUGUACUCACCCUUGCUUUCACAAAACACCAUGUUGCCUUUGGUGCAAUCUAUGCUCAAGUAAAGAAGAAGGCGUCGAGGCGGAUCUCCGGGAGUUUCAGGACUUCGGCGAGUUUGAGGAUUAGGCUAGCGACCUCCCCCAGUCAGCUGCCUGUGGUGGGUUUAUUUACGUUGGCUACGUUUCUGUUCUGUGUACUUUGGUUAUAUUAUGUAAAUGACUCUAGUCUUUCAUAUUAUUACUUAUCUUUAUUGUUAUUCGAAGCAUUGUGCUAUGAUGAGUCAUUUAUGUAAUCGCCGUGUACGUGAAUUUCUGAUCCUGGCACGUACAUGGUUCGCAUUCGGUUUACCUUCCAAAACCGGGUGUGACAAUAAGGGAGCAGCAAGGAAGGUUUCAUGAAGAGUUGCGAUAAGAGAAAAUGGCAUUCAUCUGACAACAAUCAGAGUACAUUGCUGCUUACAACGCACAGGCGCAACAAAAAAGUGAACUCUUGGUUUUCAGAGCAACCACAACAAUCAUUCAUUUUCCCUCAAUUUUAGCCGCUGAUAUCUCAGGAUUACAUGAUACAACACCUUCUCCAACUUAGAAUUCCCAGAAGAAGAAGAUGAAAUUCAAGAAGUGGUUUCUGAAGAGGAGUCUGCUUCAGUGCCUGCUCAUCAAGUGAUGGGAGCCAUCUAACUGGGGUUUAAUAGAGGGAUUUAGACCUCUGUCUCUGCAACUAAG